ACGCUGGCGGCAGGCUUAACACAUGCAAGUCGAACGGUAGCAGGAGAAAGCUUGCUUUCUUGCUGACGAGUGGCGGACGGGUGAGUAAUGCUUGGGAAUCUGGCUUAUGGAGGGGGAUAACUACGGGAAACUGUAGCUAAUACCGCGUAAUAUCGAAAGAUUAAAGUGUGGGACCUUCGGGCCACAUGCCAUAAGAUGAGCCCAAGUGGGAUUAGGUAGUUGGUGGGGUAAAGGCCUACCAAGCCGACGAUCUCUAGCUGGUCUGAGAGGAUGACCAGCCACACUGGAACUGAGACACGGUCCAGACUCCUACGGGAGGCAGCAGUGGGGAAUAUUGCGCAAUGGGGGGAACCCUGACGCAGCCAUGCCGCGUGAAUGAAGAAGGCCUUCGGGUUGUAAAGUUCUUUCGGUAUUGAGGAAGGGAUGUGUGCUAAUAGUACACGUCAUUGACGUUAAAUACAGAAGAAGCACCGGCUAACUCCGUGCCAGCAGCCGCGGUAAUACGGAGAGUGCGAGCGUUAAUCGGAAUAACUGGGCGUAAAGGGCACGCAGGCGGUUAUUUAAGUGAGGUGUGAAAGCCCCGGGCUUAACCUGGGAAUUGCAUUUCAGACUGGGUAACUAGAGUACUUUAGGGAGGGGUAGAAUUCCACGUGUAGCGGUGAAAUGCGUAGAGAUGUGGAGGAAUACCGAAGGCGAAGGCAGCCCCUUGGGAAUGUACUGACGCUCAUGUGCGAAAGCGUGGGGAGCAAACAGGAUUAGAUACCCUGGUAGUCCACGCUGUAAACGCUGUCGAUUUGGGGAUUGGGCUUUAAGCUUGGUGCCCGUAGCUAACGUGAUAAAUCGACCGCCUGGGGAGUACGGCCGCAAGGUUAAAACUCAAAUGAAUUGACGGGGGCCCGCACAAGCG
Molecule: ribosomal RNA, 907 nt
Filed under: uncultured bacterium
Lineage: Bacteria
Description: bacterial SSU rRNA
Rfam family: Bacterial small subunit ribosomal RNA
Source: RNAcentral